CACGUAGGCGGCCUUGUAAGUCAGGGGUGAAAUCCCACGGCUCAACCGUGGAACUGCCUUUGAAACUGCAGGGCUUGAAUCCUGGAGGGGGUGGCGGAAUUCCUGGUGUAGGAGUGAAAUCCGUAGAUAUCAGGAGGAACACCGGUGGCGAAGGCGGCCACCUGGACAGGUAUUGACGCUGAGGUGCGAAAGUGUGGGGAGCAAACAG
RNAcentral lists this ribosomal RNA (208 nucleotides) under uncultured Desulfomicrobium sp. Its description in RNAcentral is "partial 16S ribosomal RNA". It matches the Rfam family "Bacterial small subunit ribosomal RNA", at positions 568 to 775 of the family's 1533-position model. Lineage: Bacteria; Pseudomonadati; Thermodesulfobacteriota; Desulfovibrionia; Desulfovibrionales; Desulfomicrobiaceae. The record is from RNAcentral.